CGGUAAUACGAAGGGACCUAGCGUAGUUCGGAAUUACUGGGCUUAAAGAGUUCGUAGGUGGUUGAAAAAGUUGGUGGUGAAAUCCCAGAGCUUAACUCUGGAACUGCCAUCAAAACUUUUCAGCUAGAGUAUGAUAGAGGAAAGCAGAAUUUCUAGUGUAGAGGUGAAAUUCGUAGAUAUUAGAAAGAAUACCAAUUGCGAAGGCAGCUUUCUGGAUCAUUACUGACACUGAGGAACGAAAGCAUGGGUAGCGAAGAGGAUUAGAUACCCUCGUAGUCCAUGCCGUAAACGAUGUGUGUUAGACGUUGGAAAUUAAUUUUCAGUGUCGCAGCGAAAGCGAUAAACACACCGCCUGGGGAGUACGACCGCAAGGUUAAAACUCAAAUGAAUUGACGGGGACCCGCACAAGUAGUGGAGCAUGUGGUUUAAUUCGAAGAUACGCGCAGAACCUUACCAACACUUGACAUGUUCGUCGCGACUCUAAGAGAUUAGAGUUUUCGGUUCGGCCGGACGAAACACAGGUGCUGCAUGGCUGUCGUCAGCUCGUGUCGUGAGAUGUUGGGUUAAGUCCCGCAACGAGCGCAACCCUCACUUUUAGUUGCCAUCAUUAAGUUGGGCACUCUGAAAGAACUGCCAGUGAUAAGCUGGAGGAAGGUGGGGAUGACGUCAAGUCCUCAUGGCCCUUACGUGUUGGGCUACACACGUGCUACAAUGGUAUCUACAACAGGAAGCAAGACUGCGAAGUUUAGCAAAUCCUUAAAAGAUACCUCAGUUCGGAUUGCACUCUGCAACUCGAGUGCAUGAAGCUGGAAUUACUAGUAAUCGUGGAUCAGCGUGCCACGGUGAAUGCGUUCCCGGG
This 859-nucleotide ribosomal RNA is filed under the name uncultured bacterium. RNAcentral describes it as "bacterial SSU rRNA". It matches the Rfam family "Bacterial small subunit ribosomal RNA", at positions 518 to 1378 of the family's 1533-position model. The record is from RNAcentral.